AAAAAAUAUUUUGGAAUUUGGUUUUGUUUUCGGAUCAAAUGGGUUUUGGUGGACUGAACCGAGCCGAUUUAUUUGCGGAACGACUCGAAAUAGUUGUUCUUUGCGGAAAAUGUGCCAUCAAAAUAGUUACGGAAGGAAACGCAAGCAUGGGAACCGUAAAUUUAUUCACCAAUAUUCAUCUUAUCGAUCUGGGUAAGCGAUGCUUCUGAUACCACCAAAUCAACCUCCGGAUUGCUGCUCGUUCAUCACAAUGGACCUGGUAAAACACCGCCGAGUAGAGAAAUUCAAAAAAAAAAAAUCAACAUCCCGGCACGGUAGCUGCUGAAGGCCUAAGGAACUGCAUGCAUAGAGGAAUGAAGGAAAAAAAAAAGGCUGCGACAAAAGUUCACCCAGGCAGAACCAAAACCGAUGGUCAUCUUCAAGCUGCUGGACUAACUGGAAGACAUUUGGAUUGCACGAUGGAGUCGCCGGC
Uranotaenia lowii is the source of this 472-nucleotide long non-coding RNA. RefSeq lists it as uncharacterized. The transcript has 3 exons. NCBI's taxonomy places the organism in Eukaryota, Metazoa, Arthropoda, Insecta, Diptera, Culicidae. The record is from RefSeq and is a predicted model, not a curated record.